UAGCUAGCAGGGUGCACCACGAGCAGGU
RNAcentral lists this small RNA (28 nucleotides) under Bombyx mori (domestic silkworm). RNAcentral's name for it is "ovarian small RNA-22471". Lineage: Eukaryota; Metazoa; Arthropoda; Insecta; Lepidoptera; Bombycidae. The record is from RNAcentral.